This 100-nucleotide small nuclear RNA is filed under the name Choloepus hoffmanni (Hoffmann's two-fingered sloth). The record is from RNAcentral. Lineage: Eukaryota; Metazoa; Chordata; Mammalia; Pilosa; Megalonychidae.
UCUAAACCUAAGAAUACUCAAUAUUGGAAUGGGACAGAGAAGAUUAACAUGGCCCCUGCACAAGGAUGUCAUGCAAAUUCAUGAAGCACUCCAUAUUUUU